GUAUCAGUAGCAUAGUGGUUAGUGCACUGUCUCAGAAAGGUUGAAACGCGGGUUCGAAUCCUGCCUGAGGUG
RNAcentral lists this transfer RNA (72 nucleotides) under Nippostrongylus brasiliensis. It matches the Rfam family "tRNA". From Rfam's summary of the family: Transfer RNA (tRNA) molecules are approximately 80 nucleotides in length. Their secondary structure includes four short double-helical elements and three loops (D, anti-codon, and T loops). The record is from Rfam by way of RNAcentral. Lineage: Eukaryota; Metazoa; Nematoda; Chromadorea; Rhabditida; Heligmosomidae.